GCAGCCGCGCCCCCAGCCGUAUUUCCGCUGGCGCAGAGCACCAGAGAGAGAGUCUUGUGGCUGCGGUUUGCAGACUGCUUUUCGCCCCCCUCCGCGAGGUUGCCCCUGUACUCGCCGCCAUCCAUCCUGACGCCCGGGAUGAGUCACUGAGGGGCAGCGCCCGAGGCGUGGUCUUACCAAGAACCCCCAGUGGCCUCCCAAGGCCGGUGUUGUGUACCUCCUUCCUGACAAAAGGGGAAACUGAGGCCCCGAGGGGAGUGGGAAGAGCCGGCCGGACGUCAGGCCCAGCCCCUGGUGCAGUGCUGCGUCCUUUCCGCCGGGGUGGGCCCCUCAGGAUUCGCGUGUCCUCGGGAAAGAGACUGGCGGGCCUCGUGGGCUGUGCGGCUCUCCUGGAGACAGAUGACAGCUCUCCCUUGGAUGACUUUGCUGGUUCCGCACCAGCCAGAGCCCCCGUUUUUCCUGCAGCACCCUGAUCUGCACUCCCUGAGGGGCUCCCACUGUCCGCGCGGUGAGGAUGUCCCUGGAUAGUCCACUGUGUGCAGAGGCAUGGGAGUUGUCAUGUCGGGAACAUGCUAGACCUUAGUGUCCUUGAGGGAUGCCGCCCUGGGUCUGGAGACUGUUGGAGGAAACCCCAGGAGGUGCAGGCACUGAGCCUCUCGAGACAAUGACCUGGGGUCCCAGCUUCCCUGGAGGGGUCUCCUCAUGAUUGUUUGAGGGUUGAUCACAGACCAAAAGUGAUGAGUGAUGUCACUCCAUGACGCAUGGCUGGACCUUCUUGCCCCUAUUGUCUCAGCACAACGCUAAUCGACUUUUCCCUCAGCGUGGGUGGAGGGUGGGCAGAGGAAAAGCCCUGUGGCUCUGGGGACUUGGGAUCCAGAGGUGAAGACCUUUCAGCUGGCUCUGCCCUGCCAGUGCCACAGAGUGCCAUGGCCCAGGAAGACUGGUUUUCUUCCAUCUAGGCCAGGCCAUCCAGUGUCCUCCUGCCUGUUCCUGGUGUGACUUCUGAAAACCAAGAAUUUGUUCCUGUUGACUUUUUCUGUGCUGUGGACCAUUGUCCUCUCACGCACUCAAUAAAUCUUGAAACAUGC
This is a long non-coding RNA of Mandrillus leucophaeus (drill), 1088 nucleotides long. RefSeq lists it as uncharacterized. Lineage: Eukaryota; Metazoa; Chordata; Mammalia; Primates; Cercopithecidae. The transcript is spliced from 5 exons. The record is from RefSeq and is a predicted model, not a curated record.